GGAAAGGGUUGUGCGGAUCUUCAUCUUGGACUGCAGCAAAGGAGUCGUCCAAAAAGUCCACUGGGAAGUUGGAUGAAGAGGGCAUGGAAAUAGCUGUUUGUCGCCACGGAGUCCUCUUAGCUGCAUUGAACAUGUUUCGAGGGGAGAUCUUUGCUUACCCCCUUUUUCUCCAGAGGAAGUUGGCAGCUAACGUCCCAGGACAUAUUACGUUCCUUUGCUCCGAUGUGGCCUGUAAAUAUUUCCCCUAUUUAACCAAGGUGGCUCAGCAGUGCCCUGAGCUGAGGAACCUCUUGUCAAUGCGUCCUUUUCUCUCCGUCAUGCAUGCAAAGGCUCACACUUGGAAAUGCGAGAUCAAAUGGGGAGGUGCGUUUCAGGAUGGGGCCGGUUCAACAGUUGGAGAAGAGGUGGAACAAGUAAACAGUUUCCUGUCUAGGGCGGCCAUCACAACGAAGUACAUGUCUAAAGCAGGGCAAACAGACAUGCUGACCCUCCUGGCUUUGGGUUGGAACAAAAGGAAAGUGGAACAACUGGGCCGCACUUUGAGCCAGAGAUAUCUCAAGAUCAUAAGGAUCCUUAGAGAACAAGUGGAGAGCCUGAAUGUGACCAAAAAUGAGCUGGGUGUGGAUGACGACACACUGCAGCAAUGGGUGGCCGAUGUGCAGAAAUGGGCUGAAGAUAGCAACAAGAGGCGACACAGAAUUCGCAAGGUCAUCUUAGUUGAGAAGAAACGCUUGGCGGCUGCUGUUGACGACUACAACAAGCUUGCUGAACCAACAAAGCAAAUCGUAUCCAGUGAUGCCCUCAUCCAGACCGAUAUUUGGCCCUGGCAGAGCACAAGUGAACCUGCUGCUGAACUCCAGACAAAGAGAAAGGUCUUUGAGAAGGUGAUGGCUGUGAGGCGCCUGAGAGAGGAGGAGAUGAUCCUUUGCAGGGAGAUGCGGCAUCACUGGACAGUGUUGCGAAUGCGAUCUGUGGUGUUGGGGACAAUCUCCUCAGACUCCUCCCUUGUUGGCAUGUCGGAGGAUGCACAGAAGGGACUCCGUAGCCUGGUUUUAAAAAAACAAAGUGAACUGAAAGCUGAAAUGCUCAAAGUAAAGGACAUGUACAAGAGAAUCCUCAGCCACCAACCACUCCUGGAAAUGGACUCGGAGGAGGAGGAGGACAUUCCAGACGAUGCCACUGAGAGUGAUUUGAGCACUUCUGAUGAAGACUGAUUGUGUCAUCCUUGAUGUUAUUUUUGGUAAAAUAAAA
Oreochromis aureus is the source of this 1251-nucleotide long non-coding RNA. NCBI's taxonomy places the organism in Eukaryota, Metazoa, Chordata, Actinopteri, Cichliformes, Cichlidae. The record is from Ensembl.